GAUGAACGCUGGCGGCGUGCCUAAUACAUGCAAGUCGAGCGAACGGACGAGAAGCUUGCUUCUCUGAUGUUAGCGGCGGACGGGUGAGUAACACGUGGAUAACCUACCUAUAAGACUGGGAUAACUUCGGGAAACCGGAGCUAAUACCGGAUAUAUUUUGAACCGCAUGGUUCAAAAGUGAAAGACGGUCUUGCUGUCACUUAUAGAUGGAUCCGCGCUGCAUUAGCUAGUUGGUAAGGUAACGGCUUACCAAGGCAACGAUGCAUAGCCGACCUGAGGGGGUGAUCGGCCACACUGGAACUGAGACACGGUCCAGACUCCUACGGGAGGCAGCAGUAGGGAAUCUUCCGCAAUGGGCGAAAGCCUGACGGAGCAACGCCGCGUGAGUGAUGAAGGUCUUCGGAUCGUAAAACUCUGUUAUUAGGGAAGAACAUAUGUGUAAGUAACUGUGCACAUCUUGACGGUACCUAAUCAGAAAGCCACGGCUAACUACGUG
This 496-nucleotide ribosomal RNA is filed under the name uncultured bacterium. RNAcentral's name for it is "partial 16S ribosomal RNA". It matches the Rfam family "Bacterial small subunit ribosomal RNA", at positions 28 to 507 of the family's 1533-position model. The record is from RNAcentral.